AGAAUGAACGCUGGCGGCGUGCUUUACACAUGCAAGUCGAGCGAGGCGGGUAGCUUGCUACCCAGUCGAGCGGCGAACGGGUGAGUAACGCGUGGAUGAUCUGCCUUCAGGUGGGGGAUAACCCGGGGAAACUCGGGCUAAUACCGCAUAACAUCUCCGGAUCAAAGGGGGCUGGGUAAACCAGCUCCCGCCAGAAGAGGAGUCCGCGUACGAUUAGCUAGUUGGUAGGGUAAUGGCCUACCAAGGCGACGAUCGUUAGCCGGCCUGAGAGGGUGAUCGGCCACACUGGAACUGAGACACGGUCCAGACUCCGU
RNAcentral lists this ribosomal RNA (314 nucleotides) under uncultured soil bacterium. RNAcentral describes it as "bacterial SSU rRNA". It matches the Rfam family "Bacterial small subunit ribosomal RNA", at positions 26 to 341 of the family's 1533-position model. The record is from RNAcentral.